This 150-nucleotide transfer-messenger RNA is filed under the name Eggerthellaceae bacterium. Its description in RNAcentral is "partial transfer-messenger RNA". It matches the Rfam family "transfer-messenger RNA", at positions 223 to 374 of the family's 374-position model. Rfam says of the family: Bacterial tmRNA, also known as 10Sa RNA or SsrA, is named for its dual tRNA and mRNA-like properties. Its role is to liberate the mRNA from a stalled ribosome. Lineage: Bacteria; Bacillati; Actinomycetota; Coriobacteriia; Eggerthellales; Eggerthellaceae. The record is from RNAcentral.
GGUAUGGCUAAGCAAAAGAUCGAACCCGCUAGGAUGCGCGCAGACCUGUCAAUGGGUCUUGCUCAUCUGAAGUUUGAACAUUGAAUAAGCUUGUAGAGCCUCGUUGAUGAUUUAGUAUGGACCGGAGUUCGAUUCUCCGCGCCUCCACCA